AUCCGAUCCGUUUGCCACCACUAUCUGACAUCAGAUCAAAUUUACCUUCGAGCCUUGCAAAAUAUUUUGUUUUUUAAUCUUUUGGGAUGUAUUUAUGCUAGAUCAGUGCAAACAUCCUCUCUUUUGUAUCCAAAAAAAGAAAAAAAGAAACUGGAUGAGGAGUAAAGCAUAUAAAUAUAUCCAAACAGCAAAGUAUAGAAGACCAUAGUUGGAGUAUAUCUGGGGAACAAAAGGCAACUCCUACUGAAUUAGCAUUGCAAAUCUGAAGAAAAUGCCGUGGAGAAGAUAUGUUGAUAACUUGGAUCCAGAAGCAGAAAAGCGCUUCAGCAGUGAUUUUAUGAUUGUAAUAAGAGAAAGGACUUCUGAAGCUAUUUCAUGUUGAAUUUCUAUGAAGCUUGUGUGGAAGUUGCAAGGUGACAAA
RNAcentral lists this long non-coding RNA (421 nucleotides) under Elaeis guineensis (African oil palm). Its description in RNAcentral is "long non-coding RNA (EGUI_LNC003520)". Lineage: Eukaryota; Viridiplantae; Streptophyta; Magnoliopsida; Arecales; Arecaceae. The record is from RNAcentral.